Megalopta genalis is the source of this 972-nucleotide long non-coding RNA. RefSeq lists it as uncharacterized. Lineage: Eukaryota; Metazoa; Arthropoda; Insecta; Hymenoptera; Halictidae. The record is from RefSeq and is a predicted model, not a curated record.
AGUUGUAUGCCUCUUGAUGCUUCCUGUCUUCUGUAGGCUGUAUUGCAUGCAUACGUAUAUAAUACAUAUACAUAUACUUGUAUGCACGUGUGUGUAUAUCGUACGCGAAUCAAGUGGUGACGGUGAUUGGUGACAAGCGCUUCGUUCGGUCGUUCUAGGAAGAUUUUAACUCGACGUUCCUGCAAGGAACUGUCUCUCACUUGCCUGUUCAUACAUCUGUGCAUAUUACAAUUCGGAAAACAUGAAGGAAACAGCGACGAUGGAAGGAUACACAUAGUACCUAAAAGUUCUGGUCUAUGCGCGUCCAAUGAAUUUGUCACUUCUAAAUCAUAAAGCGUGUCGUAAUGCAAAUAAGAUAUACAGAAUACUAGAUUCUCACUAAGAAGAUUAAAUUUCUGAAGUAUCGGUAACGACGAGCACGACACGGGAAUGGUAAUGGAUUAUGUAUAUGGUAAAUACAGAAAAUGAAUGCGACGCGGUAAUGGUAAAACCGCAGACGAGGUAUAGGAGAUAACAGUACACCUAGCACUCGAUGUAAAUUUUUGUUUUACAAUUUCAUACUGUAUAUUAUACUGUAUAAAUUAAGUAUUGUAUAAUAUUGGAACUUUUACAAUAUUGUUUACCGUAAAUAUAACGAUGUAUCGUAUCAAUUUGAAAAUACAGAGUGAAAAUGCAAAGUGAAAAUAUAGAGUGAAAUAUCCGCAUAGUACUUACUUGUACUUGUACAGGUAAUCAACUUCGUUUUACGAUUUCAUAAGACGUUCUAUUAUUCGAAAUGGUGCCAUCAUUUUUCUAUCGUAAAUAUAUCCAGUACAUGUAUGUAUGUAUUUAUGAAUGUAUGUAUGUACGUAUAUCGUACGUAGUUAUCAAGUUAUCGUUUAUGAAACAUAUGUAUGUUUAAUACGUUUAUGGAACAAAAGUGCAUACAAUUUAUCCACUGAAAGAAUUUCGAUAAAAAUGUUCAAAUAGAAA